UUAUGAUCUAGGUUUUUCUAAACCAGAGUAAGCAGGGACAUAAACACUCAAUAGAAGUGCAAGUUAAGGUUCGUGUUCUCCGCUCGUUUUGUUUGCUUCAUUGAACACUUUGAUUCUGUAUUUUCUCAGCUUUUGCAAUUACUAUUUGAGAAUUCUGUUUACGACUUUUUGUUUUUGGAGAUUCGUGUUUGGUUUAGAUUGAUGCUAAUUUACAUAUCUGUUUCCAUUAUAAUCUCUUUAUUUAUGCAGGGAUUCCUCUCUCAGUUGUUUGGUUUCUGCAAAUUCUUUUCCUUUUCAUUGUAACUUUCCUACCCACGAACAAAUUCAAUUCAAUUCAGUUCGCAGUUUUCACUAAUUACUUAUUAAUGAAUCCAAAAUGUUGUUGUUGUGGUCGUGUUUUAUGAGAAUUCAGUAAUCUUUAAGAACAAAUUUGUCGUUAUUGGGUUUUGUACAUUGAAACUGCAAUGUGUCUUUUUUAAUGAAGAAUUCAGAAUACAAUCGAUGGGUACCCUUAUUUUUUUAAUAUAAACUCAUGGGCUGUAUAUUUGUUUGGCUUCUUGUUCAGCAUAUAUUAGAUCGUUAUAAAGUAGAAGGUAUGGCUGGACAUAAUGAGUCUGGCAAGAAGAAAUCAAGUGAAGCUGCUAAUGAUUUACAGACAUUCAGUGCUGAAAAUUUGCAAAAUAACAUGAAAGUUAUAUAUUACAGGUUUGUUUGUUUCAACAGCUUAAGAGGUCUUGGCUUUUCUGAUGAAGAUUUUGAUUUUUGGUUGUUGAUUAGUAUGACAAGA
Molecule: unclassified non-coding RNA, 787 nt
Filed under: Hevea brasiliensis (rubber tree)
Lineage: Eukaryota; Viridiplantae; Streptophyta; Magnoliopsida; Malpighiales; Euphorbiaceae
Source: RNAcentral